Papaver somniferum (opium poppy) is the source of this 1353-nucleotide long non-coding RNA. RefSeq lists it as uncharacterized. The transcript is spliced from 2 exons. The record is from RefSeq and is a predicted model, not a curated record. Lineage: Eukaryota; Viridiplantae; Streptophyta; Magnoliopsida; Ranunculales; Papaveraceae.
UGCUAUGAAAACUCAAGUAGGUGCUGUUAGAGAAACAGGGAGAUGAAUAAUGAGUCAUAGUUCCAUUUAUUAAGAAAAGAAAGAAAGAGUAUGAGAAGGAACGAAAAAGAAGAAGGAAGAAGAUAAGGUUGAUAUUGAUAGUUGUUGAUGAUGGUGAAAGAGUUAGAUAGGGAGUGAUGAUAUCAUGUUGUAGAAAUUGAUUGGGAGUUAGUGAUAAAUAAAAAGAAGGAAAAUCAGAAAGAAAGAGAGAUUAGAUAUAUUAGCUAGAUUAAAUGAAAGUUUGGAAGAAGAGUUGAUGAUGUUGAUAUUACAGGGAUAAUUGUUUAUUAUAUGAUUUUAUUAUGAUGAUAAUGGAUGAUGAUGGAAACUAGAUAAACUAUUCAAGUUAUUCUAUAUUAACAACGAUCGAUUCAAAGGAUGAACCAGUGCAUUGGGGAAUACAAGGUAGGCGUGGCUUGUCAUCAAAUCAGGUGGGAACUCUGUGACCUUCUUGUAAUCAAUAAGUUACUUUCUAUUUGCGAGCAUGAUGAGUCUUUAUUGUUUUUGGCAUUUUUUUGUAUUUUACUAGCUAUGUAAAUGCUUGUAUGUGUCUUGAUGUGCAUGUAAUAUGGUUGUAUGAUUUCCCCGCAAGGAGUGUCUGUGUAUCCCCACGGAUCUUUGCUAAGUUAAGUAUGACGACUUCUUCCCCAUUUUAAUAUUAUUUAGUAGGGCGGCUUCUUCCCCGUUUCAAUAUAUUAGUAGGGCGGCUUCUUCCCCGUUUCGAUAGUAUAUAAAUAAUAUAUAGUAGGGCGGCUUCUUCCCAGUUAUAAUAUUACCUAGUAGGGCGGCUUCUUUUCCGUUUCGUUAUUAGAUAUACUAUUUUAAAUUGGGGAAAUCACUCGUGUGCAUAUUAUACUUGUUUGUCUAACUUCCUGAUCUUGAUAGUAAUAUUCUGAAUCAUGGUUUGUCUGGGCAAUUGCUCUCGCGUCGUCUUCUCUAAUGAGUUUGGCGAGGUUAGAGUGACACUUGCUUCAUGAUGCAUAAAUAGAUGAAUGAUAAGUUACUUCUUGUUUCUUUCAAUUUAUAUUCUAGUAGAACUGUGAAGCAUGUUAGUGAUUACUUGAGAGUUAUAUGUUUUCAUUGAGCACCCUUUUGGGAUGAUGUGCUCACUUGUUCCCACUUCAGUUUCAGUUACCAGAAGAAAUGUUGCACGUGAAGAUAUCCGUUUUCAUAGUUUAAAGCAUUACAUUUAUGUAUCUUUUGUGUAUGUGUAUUCUUGAUUUAUUGUAAAACAACAUACCAACAUAUUAAUAUCAAUUGAGAGUUCUUCAUUAAUAAAUAUCAGAGUGUUGGGUUCAAGUUGGUUUUAGUUCA